Molecule: long non-coding RNA, 1079 nt
Filed under: Struthio camelus australis
Lineage: Eukaryota; Metazoa; Chordata; Aves; Struthioniformes; Struthionidae
Description: lncRNA (ENSSCUG00000017078.1)
Source: RNAcentral
GCUCUCCAUCUUGUCCAAGUCGUCGGCUGGUGAGUGCCGAGCGCUGCCCAAGCCCAGAGAGCCUCCGUCCAGCUCAAACUUCUCCAGCAAGGGGCUGCUCUGGCUGCCCAACUGGGCUGGGGCCAGCCCGCGGCCGGGGCCAGCGUAGGGGUCCUUGUCCAGCACAGGGACGCCGGCAGGGCUGCUGUUUGGGAAGUGAGUCAAGCCAAGGCGAGCUGGGCCAGCCCCAGGGCUCAGGAGGGUCUGGCCUGAUUUCAGGGUCAGCCCGAGGGAGACAGAGAUUUUAUCUGUGCCCUGCAGGGCCUCCGACUUGAUGGGGACUGGGAGCCGCUCAGGGCCGCCGGCAGUGAACUGGCAGGGAGACGUCUUCAGGCAACCGUCCUCCAGCUUGGGCUUGACAUCGGCAGGCAGUGCACCCGCCUUCACCUCCAGGCCCUGCGUCUUGAAGGUCGGGUCAGGGGCCAGCGCGGUGCCUGGUGGGACAGGAGCAGGCGUCAAGCCCACCCCCACCACCAGCCCUUCCUUGGGUGCUUCUCGAUCCUCCGCAGCUGGGGCCAUGUCCUUGCUGUCCCCGGGGUCAGGGAGCUUCAAGCUGGGUACCGAUGGCUCUGUCUUGAGCUGGGCCUCACGCUCGGCCUUCUCGUUAGCCGACUCAACCAGGCGGAGGUGCUCGUUGAAGAUGUCCUUCUUGUCACCGGUGUCCAGCUCAGGGUCCGUGUAGGCCAGCAGGUCGAACUCGUCGCCGUUCAACAGGUCGUCAAGGUGGGGGUCUGCCGUCUCCAGGCUGUCCAGGUUGUCCAGGUCGUCGUCCCCUUUAGCCACGUCGGGGUCCAGGCUCAGGUUGGCCAAAUCGUCAUCGUCUUCCAGGUCCUUGUGAGAGCCGAAGUCGUCAUCCAAAUCAGGCUCUACUGGGACCUCGCAGGGCAGCCGCCCUCCUUCCAGGCUCAGAUGGCUCUUGCCCGGAGCCGGAGCUGGCGCAGGGUCUGGCGCAGGGCUGUCCUUGGGGCCCUCGGGGCGGAGGGCAGUGCUGGAGGCCAGCGGGCGCGGGGGAACAUGCUGCAGCUCCAGGCUGGGCNNNN